This 369-nucleotide ribosomal RNA is filed under the name uncultured organism. RNAcentral describes it as "bacterial SSU rRNA". It matches the Rfam family "Bacterial small subunit ribosomal RNA", at positions 529 to 896 of the family's 1533-position model. The record is from RNAcentral.
GGGGGGCAAGCGUUGUUCGGAAUUACUGGGCGUAAAGGGUUCGUAGGUGGCUCGCUAAGUCAGACGUGAAAUCCCUCAGCUUAACUGGGGAACUGCGUCUGAGACUGGCGAGCUUGAGUGCAGGAGAGGAACGCGGAAUUCCAGGUGUAGCGGUGAAAUGCGUAGAUAUCUGGAGGAACACCGGUGGCGAAGGCGGCGUUCUGGACUGCAACUGACACUGAGGAACGAAAGCCAGGGUAGCAAACGGGAUUAGAUACCCCGGUAGUCCUGGCCCUAAACGAUGAAUGCUUGGUGUGGCGGGUAUCGAUCCCUGCCGUGCCGAAGUUAACGCGUUAAGCAUUCCGCCUGGGGAGUACGGUCGCAAGGCUG